RNAcentral lists this ribosomal RNA (468 nucleotides) under uncultured bacterium. RNAcentral describes it as "partial 16S ribosomal RNA". It matches the Rfam family "Bacterial small subunit ribosomal RNA", at positions 28 to 507 of the family's 1533-position model. The record is from RNAcentral.
GACGAACGCUGGCGGCGUGCUUAACACAUGCAAGUCGAACGGAAAGGCCCUGCUUUUGUGGGGUGCUCGAGUGGCGAACGGGUGAGUAACACGUGAGUAACCUGCCCUUGACUUUGGGAUAACUUCAGGAAACUGGGGCUAAUACCGGAUAGGAGCUCCUGCUGCAUGGUGGGGGUUGGAAAGUUUCGGCGGUUGGGGAUGGACUCGCGGCUUAUCAGCUUGUUGGUGAGGUAGUGGCUUACCAAGGCUUUGACGGGUAGCCGGCCUGAGAGGGGGACCGGCCACAAUGGGACUGAGGGACGGCCCAGAAGGCAACGGGACGCAACAGUGGAGAGUUUUGCACAGCAGGGCGGAGCCUGAUGCAGCAGUGCCGCGUGCGGGAUGAUGGCCUUCGAGUUGUAAACCGCUUUCGCCGGUAACAAGCAGUGAGUGACGGUAAUGGGUAAAGAAGCACCGGCUAACUACGUG